ACAUGCUUAUUCCUCUGGACUUGGAGUGUAUACCAUUCAAAGGUGUGCAGCGGGUCUCUGUUCACAUGGCUCAACUGGAAACCUGUUUCAUGAACAAGCUUAGUCAGGAACCAUCUGGUGGUAUUCCAGCACAUUGUUCUUCAGGGGGACGACUCUAAGUCGCUUUGUGGUGGCAGCAGCUUAGAAUCAGUAUUUGUGGUUGGGAAAGAUGGACUUACAGGAGCUUGGUAAUGCAGGAGGUGCUUGAACUCGCUUUCUCCAUCUUGUAUGACUCAAACUGCCAACUGAACUUCAUCGCUCCUGACAAGCAUGAGUACUGUAUCUGGACGGAUGGACUGAAUGCGCUCCUCGGGAAGGACAUGAUGAGCGACCUGACGCGGAAUGACCUGGACACCCUGCUCAGCAUGGAAAUCAAGCUCCGCCUCCUGGACCUGGAAAACAUCCAGAUCCCUGACGCACCUCCGCCGAUUCCCAAGGAGCCCAGCAACUAUGACUUCGUCUAUGACUGUAACUGAAGUGGCCGGGCCCAGACAUGCCCCUUCCAAAACUGGAACACCUAGCUAACAGG
RNAcentral lists this small RNA (568 nucleotides) under Pongo abelii (Sumatran orangutan). Its description in RNAcentral is "processed transcript". The record is from RNAcentral. Lineage: Eukaryota; Metazoa; Chordata; Mammalia; Primates; Hominidae.